UGGACCUGUUCGCGCUUGCCGGGUGUGACGCUCCGUCCUGUAGGUCAGAAGUCUGGACGUGGCAUUGACGACUGCUUUGCUCAGUCACACAAGGUUGAAAUCGAAGGGUGUGCAUCAUUUCACAGUUAUUGGCAAUGGUUCAAUGGUUUCAUCUGCUUUGAACAGUUUCUUCUCCAUCAUUAAGAGGAAUGGUAUAUGUAAUUUCUUCAAUCAACAGAAGUGGAAACCUGAGUGUAAACCGAUGAAGGUAUAUAUUUGCUAAAUACUUGCUUACCACUUGUUAAACUAAAUUUGGUCUGAGGCUGUCCCUGUACUUUUAGUUUCUACAUAGCCAAAUGCAACCUAGCUUAAGAGUAUAUUAUUGUAACAAAUAGCGUGAGUUUCAGCCACUCACAGCAGCAGAGCUUCAGCCAAUCACAGGCUGGUAACCCCCAAUCAGACAAUGUCCAUAUAAGGCAAAUAUCUCAUCAUGCCAUACACAAAUAAGGUAAACACCACACGGUGUUUCUGAAUGUCAUUGGCUGUUUCUGAAUGUCAUUUCAUUUCUCUGUUUAUAAAUAUCACCUGCCCAUAGUGCUUAGUGGAGCUCAGUAAACUCCCAGUUCUGAGGGCUGCCCAGUUUAUAAAUCAUUCUUUGCUCAAAC
Molecule: long non-coding RNA, 644 nt
Organism: Rhinopithecus roxellana (golden snub-nosed monkey)
Lineage: Eukaryota; Metazoa; Chordata; Mammalia; Primates; Cercopithecidae
Exons: 4
Source: RefSeq, a predicted model, not a curated record